UACAGAGGAGCCAAGCGUUGUCCGGAGUUACUGGGCGUAAAGAGUGCGUAGGUGGUGCCCUAAGUCUGUUGUGAAAUCUCCCGGCUUAACUGGGAGGGUGCGGUGGAAACUGGGGUGCUUGAGUGUGGGAGAGGUAAGCGGAAUUCCUGGUGUAGCGGUGAAAUGCGUAGAUAUCAGGAGGAACACCGGUGGUGUAGACGGCUUACUGGACCACGACUGACACUGAGGCACGAAAGCGUGGGUAGCAAACAGG
RNAcentral lists this ribosomal RNA (253 nucleotides) under uncultured bacterium. RNAcentral's name for it is "partial 16S ribosomal RNA". It matches the Rfam family "Bacterial small subunit ribosomal RNA", at positions 524 to 776 of the family's 1533-position model. The record is from RNAcentral.